GAUGAACGCUGGCGGCGUGCCUAAUACAUGCAAGUCGAGCGAACAGAUGAGAAGCUUGCUUCUCUGAUGUUAGCGGCGGACGGGUGAGUAACACGUGGGUAACCUACCUAUAAGACUGGGAUAACUCCGGGAAACCGGGGCUAAUACCGGAUAAUAUUUUGAACCGCAUGGUUCAAUAGUGAAAGACGGUUUCGGCUGUCACUUAUAGAUGGACCCGCGCCGUAUUAGCUAGUUGGUAAGGUAACGGCUUACCAAGGCGACGAUACGUAGCCGACCUGAGGGGGUGAUCGGCCACACUGGAACUGAGACACGGUCCAGACUCCUACGGGAGGCAGCAGUAGGGAAUCUUCCGCAAUGGGCGAAAGCCUGACGGAGCAACGCCGCGUGAGUGAUGAAGGUCUUCGGAUCGUAAAACUCUGUUGUUAGGGAAGAGCAAAUUUGUUAGUAACUGAACAAGUCUUGACGGUACCUAACCAGAAAGCCACGGCUAACUACGUGCCAGCAGCCGCCGUAA
This 514-nucleotide ribosomal RNA is filed under the name uncultured bacterium. Its description in RNAcentral is "partial 16S ribosomal RNA". It matches the Rfam family "Bacterial small subunit ribosomal RNA", at positions 28 to 523 of the family's 1533-position model. The record is from RNAcentral.